UAAGUUUGAUGGCGACCGGCGCACGGGUGAGUAACACGUAUCCAACCUGCCGAUGACUCGGGGAUAGCCUUUCGAAAGAAAGAUUAAUACCCGAUGGCAUAGUUCUUCCGCAUGGUAGAACUAUUAAAGGAUUUCGGUCAUCGAUGGGGAUGCGUUCCAUUAGGUUGUUGGCGGGGUAACGGCCCACCAAGCCUUCGAUGGAUAGGGGUUCUGAGAGGAAGGUCCCCCACAUUGGAACUGAGACACGGUCCAAACUCCUACGGGAGGCAGCAUG
RNAcentral lists this ribosomal RNA (274 nucleotides) under uncultured bacterium. Its description in RNAcentral is "partial 16S ribosomal RNA". It matches the Rfam family "Bacterial small subunit ribosomal RNA", at positions 80 to 353 of the family's 1533-position model. The record is from RNAcentral.